GUAGGUGGCAAGCGUUGUCCGGAAUUAUUGGGCGUAAAGCGCGCGCAGGCGGUCCUUUAAGUCUGAUGUGAAAGCCCACGGCUCAACCGUGGAGGGUCAUUGGAAACUGGGGGACUUGAGUACAGAAGAGGAAAGCGGAAUUCCAAGUGUAGCGGUGAAAUGCGUAGAGAUUUGGAGGAACACCAGUGGCGAAGGCGGCUUUCUGGUCUGUAACUGACGCUGAGGCGCGAAAGCGUGGGGAGCAAACAGGGAUUAGAUACCCUGGUAGUUCACGCCGUAAACGAUGAGUGCUAAGUGUUAGGGGGGUUUCCGCCCCCUUAGUGCUGCAGCUAACGCAUUAAGCACUCCGCCUGGGGAUACGGCCGCAAGGCUG
This 373-nucleotide ribosomal RNA is filed under the name uncultured organism. RNAcentral describes it as "partial 16S ribosomal RNA". It matches the Rfam family "Bacterial small subunit ribosomal RNA", at positions 527 to 896 of the family's 1533-position model. The record is from RNAcentral.